Molecule: ribosomal RNA, 697 nt
Filed under: Pedobacter sp. UAPS0126
Lineage: Bacteria; Pseudomonadati; Bacteroidota; Sphingobacteriia; Sphingobacteriales; Sphingobacteriaceae
Description: bacterial SSU rRNA
Rfam family: Bacterial small subunit ribosomal RNA
Source: RNAcentral
GUCGAACGCGAUUGGGGAGCUUGCUCCCCAUGAAAGUGGCGCACGGGUGCGUAACGCGUAUGCAACCUACCUUAAUCAGGGGGAUAGCCCGAAGAAAUUCGGAUUAACACCGCAUAAAAUAGUAGRAWGGCAUCAUUCAACUAUCAAAUAUUUAUAGGAUUAAGAUGGGCAUGCGUGACAUUAGUUAGUUGGUGAGGUAACGGCUCACCAAGACGACGAUGUCUAGGGGAUCUGAGAGGAUGACCCCCCACACUGGUACUGAGACACGGACCAGACUCCUACGGGAGGCAGCAGUAAGGAAUAUUGGUCAAUGGGGGCAACCCUGAACCAGCCAUGCCGCGUGCAGGAAGACUGCCCUAUGGGUUGUAAACUGCUUUUGUCGGGGAAUAAACCUCUUUACGUGUAAAGAGCUGAAUGUACUCGAAGAAUAAGGAUCGGCUAACUCCGUGCCAGCAGCCGCGGUAAUACGGAGGAUCCAAGCGUUAUCCGGAUUUAUUGGGUUUAAAGGGUGCGUAGGCGGCUUAUUAAGUCAGGGGUGAAAGACGGUGGCUCAACCAUCGCAGUGCCUUUGAUACUGAUAAGCUUGAAUGAACCUGAGGUAGGCGGAAUGUGACAAGUAGCGGUGAAAUGCAUAGAUAUGUCACAGAACACCAAUUGCGAAGGCAGCUUACUAAAGUUNAAUUGACGCUGASGCACG